This 1966-nucleotide unclassified non-coding RNA is filed under the name Leishmania donovani. RNAcentral describes it as "gene:unknown". Lineage: Eukaryota; Euglenozoa; Kinetoplastea; Trypanosomatida; Trypanosomatidae. The record is from RNAcentral.
ACGAUCCUGCGUCCGCAUAGCCUUCCCUUCUAUCUUUGCUCCCAUCGCGUUGCUGCCCCCGUGGGCACCCUUGCCUGCCACAUCUUCACGCACACGCGCUCCUGACGCCUCUUCCUAUUCGACCGUUUGAGCGCUGGCCCACAUUUUUCCUUUUCUCUCUCUUCUUGCUAGUGCGUGUGUGCUCGGCGUUGGUUUCUCGCUCUCCAUCUUUGCACCGCGUGUAGGACGCGCGAGCACGUCUGCUCAGUGGCUGGCCAGUCGACGCUCGGAGUCGCGUGUGUGUGAGUGGGGUCUACGGACGCCAGCGAAGGAUACACGCGCGCGCAGCCGUUGCGCCCCUAAAGCUGCUGUGUGCACGUGCUGCCCGCCGCAGCGGGCAUGGUGUAUCACAUCCAGGCACGGCAUCCAGGGGCGAGAAUAGCGUGGGCGAUAGGCGAAAAAGGCGCGCAGGGGAUGCACACGGAUCAGCGCCGCAGUGCAUGUGUGCGACGCAUGCGCCAUCUCGUACGCCCGACCGGGUGGGCUGGUGCGGCGGUGGCGGCGGAAGCAUGGCGAGGGCGCCCCGAGCCACGCCAUGGAGUCAUCGGGAGUCCACUGUGGAGGGUCUCCACCCGGCCUUGUGCCGGGGCUUGAAGCGAGUCAGGGAGAAGCACGGCAGACAUGCUGGCAGAGUGCAGGGUCUCCGAGGGCCCUGGCCUGCGGCCGGCCGACUUCCUCCCUGAGCUCAUCCGGCAUGACCCUAGACCACCCCCUGUUACCCGCACGCCGCACACCACCGGCUCCGCCCUCGAGCAGGACGCUGGGUGCGGCUCGCCUUGAUCAUGGCUGUGCCGUCCAGGCAGGUGGGCCUGGAGCCGCUCGCGCCGCGCGCACGGGGAGUAUGGAGCGGAGGAAGGACACGAGGCGCCCGCUAGACGCACGCCCGGAUGCGACGGCAGAGGCCCCGCCCUAGACGGCGAGGAUUUCGCUGUGGUGCAGCAGAGGCCGGCGAGCUGUGCCUGCAUGCGCGUAUUCGUUGGCUUGUUCCGGGUGUAGAAUGGACACGCUCAGAAAGCAAAAACCUCCUGUGUAUACUUGACCAGUUUUUCUCCUUUCCGCUGGUGUUGUCGCCGAACCUCAUUGGAUGAGAAAGCUCCGUGAUGCGCGGUGGGCGAUACCUUUGUUGUCUGCCCACGUGCUUGAGGAAGUCGCUGUAAAGGGCUUCGCGGUUGCGUCUGAGACUGCGUGUAGGUGCGGGAAGGAGGUGGAUCGUGCGGAUCUGUGUAAAGAGACGGCCGUACUCGUUUAUGUUCUUUAGUCCUGCUCCUCGCUAUUCUCUGCUCCCUCUGUACUGUUUUCCUUUUCUUUAUUCUUUUUGACGUGAUGCAUGGGCGGUUUUUGGCAGGACUUUCGAGAUGGCUCACGAGAAACGGUUGUGACUUCGCUUCUCUGUAGUGGCUUCGGAAGCCGCGAACAGAAAAAUACGAACGUGAAAAUGCCUAGCGAAACGGCAACAUUAAAUGCAGCAGCGACGCGGAGUGAGAGAGGCGAAUGGGAAUGCCAGCGCAUCACGCCACAUUCGUACAUGAUGCACCUCUUCGGUGAGCGGAUGUGCACAUGUGGCUUUUCCGACUAUUGGACGAGGCCUCUGAGGUAUGGGAAGUGAAAGAGACCGCUUUCUUCCCAAUUAGCGGGGCUUCGCCGCACUCAGUUUCAUCCCCGAGCGUCUUGUGAGCUGAUUCGCUGCCACGCAAAAUGUGAUCGGUGGCGAAAAGCACGGUGCCCGUGGUCCUCUCGCGUGUCCCUCCUGCUCCCUCUGUCAUUUCGCUUGUGAAGCCUCCGCUUCUCCUUUCUCACUUCUCCGACUCUCUCUUCCUCGCCCAUUCCUCGCGCUCCUCUCAUCCUUUCCUCUGGGGCCCGUGUGUGCUUUCAUCUACAACGACAACAAACAACGUUGUGUCGGAAAACAACAAUAAUGGGAUGCUUU